Molecule: signal recognition particle RNA, 299 nt
Filed under: Vombatus ursinus (common wombat)
Lineage: Eukaryota; Metazoa; Chordata; Mammalia; Diprotodontia; Vombatidae
Description: Metazoan signal recognition particle RNA (ENSVURG00010010593.1)
Rfam family: Metazoan signal recognition particle RNA
About the family: The signal recognition particle (SRP) is a universally conserved ribonucleoprotein. It is involved in the co-translational targeting of proteins to membranes. The eukaryotic SRP consists of a 300-nucleotide 7S RNA and six proteins: SRPs 72, 68, 54, 19, 14, and 9.
Source: Rfam by way of RNAcentral
GUCAGACAUGGUGGCACAUUCCUGUAAUCCCUACUACCAGGGAUGCUAAGUCUGGCAGAUGGUUUGAGCUCAGAAGUUCUGAGCUGCCAUGGGCUAGGGCAAUAAGGCGUCUGCACUGUUGGACAUUAAUCUGGUGAGCCUCUAGGAAGAGAGGGCAACCAGGUUUCCUAGAGAGGGAUAAAUUGGUCCAGGUCAAAAAAUGGAGCAGGUCAAAGGUCCCAUGCUAUUUAGUAAUGGGUUUGGGCUUAUGAGUAGCCCCUGCACUUCUAGCCUAGACAAGAUAGGAUUCCUCGUCCUUA